UCUGGUUGAUCCUGCCAGUAGUCAUAUGCUUGUCUCAAAGAUUAAGCCAUGCAUGUCUAAGUCCAAGCUGUGUUUACACGGCGAGACCGCGGACGGCUCAUUAAAUCAGUCGUGGUCCAAAUGGGCCAGUCCAUGCUUACUUGGAUAACUGUGGUAAUUCCAGAGCUAAUACAUGCAACCAAUACCCUGAAGUGAGUCUCCUUCCUGGCGCUUGCCGCUUGGGUUGGAUGUACUCUACUGACGGGUGCUUUUAUUAGACCAAUCUGCUGGGUGCUGGGCAUGUGUGCUUCUGUACGCAUUGUCCCGGCAUUGCUCGCUUUAUGGUGACUCUGGAUAACCUUUUUUGACGAGCGCACGUACUUCUCUGUUGAGUAAGACGGCGCUGCCACUUUCGAGUGUCUGCCUUAUCAGCUUUCAACCGCUCGCUACACGCGACCGAUGGCUUUGACGGGUAACGGGGAAUCAGGGUUCGAUUCCGGAGAGGCAGCCUGAGAGACGGCUACCACGUCCAAGGACGGCAGCAGGCACGCAAAUUACCCAAUCCCAGCUACUGGGGGAGGUAGUGACGAAAUCUAACGAUGUGGGCGCCCUUUCUGGGCCCCACAAUCGGAAUGAGCACUUUCUAAACAACCUGUUGAGAACCUACUGAAGGGCAAGUCUGGUGCCAGCAGCCGCGGUAAUUCCAGCUUCAGCAGCAUCUAUUAAAGUUGCUGCGGUUAAAAGGCUCGCAGUUGAAUGUCAGUGCCGGGCGUUGGAUAGGUGGACGUUGGGGUGUGAGAUUCAGUUGUCUCUGAGUGCGCGGUGCGUGGCGUUCUGCGUCUCACGCCGUGUCUCUUUGAUGGCUCUCACAAGCCCCCGUCCGUGACAAGCCUCCACGCCUGUGUACAUAGUGAUGCCUCUUUGACAUGCGUCGCGGGGUGAAUUCCUUGUGGCGUGUGUCUUUGGUUUUCAGUGUCACCCUGAGUAAAUCAGAGUGCUCAAAGCAGUCGUAAAGGGCCUCGGUCCUGUGAACAGUCUUGACAGACUGACUUGGUUUUGCAUGGUAUGUCGGAAGACGAUAUCGAGUGCUGGCUACGAGAAUCACCAGUGGUAUAAGCCAGCCUCGAUAUACUGAUUAAAAGGGCUUGUCGAGGGCAUUGGUACUGCGGAGCGAGAGGUGAAAUUCUAUGACCUCCGCAAGACCUCUCGAAGCGAAAGCGUCUGCCAAGGAUGUUUUCAUUAAUCAUGAACGAAAGUUAGAGGAUCGAAGGCGAUCAGAUACCGCCCUAGUUCUAACCCUAAACGAUGCCAACCAUCAAUCCGCUGUAGCACCCUUUCUGACGGGCUCGGCGGGCAGCUCUUCUCACACGGGAAACCAGAGUCUCUGGGUUCCGGGGGGAGUCUGGUUGCAAAGCUGAAACUUAAAGGAAUUGACGGAAAGGCACCACCAGGAGUGGAGCCUGCGGCUUAAUUUGACUCAACACGGGCCAUCUCACCAGGCCAGAACUCUAGCAUGAUUGACAGAUUGAAAGCUCUUUCUCGAUUCAGUGGAUGGUGGUGCAUGGCCGUUCUUAGUUGGUGGAGUGAUCUGUCUGGUUAAUUCCGAUAACGAACGAGACUCUCCCCUGCUAAAUAGUCGGUUGGAUCUUGCUCGGUGAGUCUUGUCCCGUUGAGUACUCGGCGUUUUGGUCUGUGUUGCGUGUGCCUUCUGUGGGUUGGGGAUCGCGGUUCGCCGUGUGUCCUCUCCCUGGAUGUGUAUGCGUGCGCGCCUGUUCGCAAAGAGGCUUCGGGUAACAAACUCCAAGUCCGCCGCUUAUGCUAUAACUCUUCUUAGAGGGAUAUACGGUUCUGAAGCCGUCAGAGACUGAGAGCAAUAACAGGUCUGUGAUGCCCUUAGAUGCUCUGGGCCGCACGCGCGCUACAAUGCCGGGCACAGCAGGUUUCUUUCCUGCUCCGAGAGGAGCGGGCAACCCUCUGAAAGCCCUUGGUUUUACAGGCACACACCUCACGGUGUGUGAUUCUGGCGUGCUUGGGCCUGGGGCUUGCAAUUCUUCCCCACAAACGAGGAAUGCCUAGUAGCGGUGGGUCACUGAGCCCACCGUGACUCAGUCCCUGCCCUUUGUACACACCGCCCGUCGCUACUACCGAUUGGGUGUACCAGUGAGAGCCUUGGACUGGCGGCCGUUGCCUUCGGGCAAGCGGAUUUCGACGGUAAGAGGUACGAACUGGUGCACUUAGAGGAAGUAAAAGUCGUAACAAGGUUUCCGUAGGUGAACCUGCGGAAGGAUCAUUAA
Molecule: ribosomal RNA, 2273 nt
Filed under: Gammaropsis utinomii
Lineage: Eukaryota; Metazoa; Arthropoda; Malacostraca; Amphipoda; Photidae
Description: small subunit ribosomal RNA
Rfam family: Eukaryotic small subunit ribosomal RNA
Source: RNAcentral